GGGUCGGCAUGGCCCAGCCCUGCGGCACCUGCGAGGCCCGACCCCUCAGAGCACGGCCGUGGGCGUUCCCAGGCUCCCCCAGUGAGGUGGCAGGGCUACUCCCACUCCGGAGAGGGGUAAACUGAGGCGGGAAGCCGAGGAGUCAGGAAGGUACCUGUCCUCCAACAGACGCAGCUUUCACAGCAGUACUAUUAGGGCUCCUCUGCUCGCAUUCUGGGAAUCACAAGCUAACAGGCACUGGGUAGGACUCUGUGCUGUUGGACCACUCAGGAUGCCUUUAGAAAGCCGCGAGUGUUCAGGGGCUGAGUUCAGGCCCAGGGAGGCUGAUGGGCACGUGUAAGGGGUGAGGCCUUGCGGUGGGGAAGCCUGCUGUGAACAACAAGCACUGUGCUUGCCUGUCCAGUGGGGAGACCAAAUCCCACUGGAGCUGGUCGUCCCUGGGGCUGGCUGCCCGGGAGUGGGAUCAGGGAGGAGCUGAACCUCAGGACCAAGGCUGGCCAGGCCGAGGCAUGGAGGAGGGUCUGAGUCUGGGGAUGAGGCUGCAGGAGGCUCUGGCACUGAGGCUGAGCUCGGAGGGCAGGUUUAGGGGCUGGGCUGGGGUGGUCAGCGUCUCUGUCUCUUCUUAUGCCUGGCUCCCAGACUCAGCUCCCACAGCAGAAGAUGCAGCUGCAGGAGGCCUGCAUGCGCAAGGAGAAGAGUGUGGCCCUGCUGGAGCACCAGCUGGUGGAGGUGGAGGAAACGGUGCGGCAGUUCCGGGGGGCUGUUGGGGAGCAGCUGGGCAAGAUGCGGCUGUUCCUGGCCGCGCUGGAGGGCUCUUUGGACCGGGAGGCAGAACGAGUUCGGGGCGAGGCUGGGGUGGCCUUACGGAGGGAGCUGGCAGGCCUGAACUCCUACCUGGAGCAGCUGCGGCAGAUGGAGAAGGUGCUGGACGAGGUGGCCGACAAAGCACAGACCGAGUUCCUCAUGAAAUAUUGCCUGGUGACAAGCAGGCUGCAGAAGAUCCUGGCAGAGUCACCACCCCCUGCUCGUCUGGAUAUCCAGUUGCCUGUCAUUUCAGACGACUUCAAAUUCCAGGUGUGGAGGAAGAUGUUCCGGGCUCUGAUGCCAGGUACUGAGAGGGCGGACCCCGAGCUUGUGUGUGAGGGGUUAGUGGGGUCCCAAUUCAACUCAGGAAGGCACCGAAGGCACCCGCACCUCAGCUCUGGCUCCCCCUGCAGCCCUCUAAUCUGCACGUGGAAGACUUCGGAGGGCAUGGUGUUCACAGGUGACAGACAGGGGGAGAGCGUUGCUGUUGGCAGACAGGAGGCUGGGGCUUGAGUUUGAACCACUGACUCCCGUGUCAUCCUUGGCCAGGCACUGCCUCUCUCUGGAUAUGGAGACGAAGAUUCCUGUUCAUGGGGGUGGGCUGGGGGCUGAGGGUCCGAAGCGCACCUGGAACCCUGGGCACUGGCCUGGGUCAGACACUGGCUCUCGAGCCCAUGGCUGGGGUAGCUCAAGCCUGAGCCUUGGCUCCCAAGGGUACAGCACAUCCGGAUGCUACAGGCCAUGCGGCACAUCUGACGCAGCCCUUGCUGUCUCUGGUUGGUGAGCUGAGACCCGGGUUUAGUCCAGAGAAAACUGAGACCCAGAAACCCGGUCAGGAGAGAGGCCAGGUGUGGUGGCACAUGCCUCUGAGGCGGAGGCAGAAGCAUCCCGAGUUCCAGUGUAGACAGGGACAAGGGUUCAGUCGCCAGGAACCCCAGCCCUCCACGGGAUGACUGAGGACCAGGCCUGGCGAUGGCCUGAGGCGACCUGGGUCUAGUUGGGGCCACAGGCGGCGGGUCCCUCCCUGGUUACCCGCAGAGCUGCCCCGGCCCGAAAGAGGGAAUUGGGGCUCGUUGGGCGGCUGGGCAGAAUGAUCCAGGGCGGCCGGCUGACCGCGGCGUCCCCGCAGCGCUGGAGCAGCUCAC
RNAcentral lists this long non-coding RNA (1949 nucleotides) under Fukomys damarensis (Damara mole-rat). Its description in RNAcentral is "lncRNA (ENSFDAG00000021911.1)". The record is from RNAcentral. Lineage: Eukaryota; Metazoa; Chordata; Mammalia; Rodentia; Bathyergidae.